UAAUCUGACUCUCUGGGCGCUCAGUUGUAGUGACUGCUGGACAGAGCUAGGGCUUCGGCCGUAGGACUACAACUCCCAGGAACACAUGCGUCGGCGGUCCGACGCUCCGGAGUCCUCGACCGCAGCGCGGGGCUUUCGGGUUCGCUAGUUCCGCUUCGCGCCCGGCGCCGCCGUCGGGCAGAGAAGUACCCGGUGGGCUCCGCGGUGCGGCGCCGUCCCGGGCGGCCUGGCCACAGCCCAGUCCCACGUCUCUCUCCAGGUUUGCAGACGGGCCGUCUUGGCGUGUCCGCCUGGAUCCCUUCCCGCCACGGAAGAGGCGGCCCCGGCUCGUCCAUUCGGGGGCUGGGCUGGGCUGGGGUCACCGUCCCGAGAGCGGCGGGCGGUGUGAGGAGCGAGGGACUCCUUGAGGGCCCCGGAGUCAGCAGAAGCGACGGCCGCGGGGAUCCUGGCAGUCUGCCCCCCGGCAGAAGGGACGUGAAGUGAGAGAUGGAUCAGCGUGCCGAGACGUCUAGGCAGUACCAGAGGCGGCUGGCCCGGACACCUGAUCUCUGCGGGUGGCUGCCGGCUCCGCGGCCUGGCCCCUGACGGCAUCCCCUCUGCCUGUCGUGCACUCACACUUUUCAUUGGAAAUCUUGGCAGUGAAGAAAGCUUGUAAGGGCAACGCAUAUGGAAAAGCCUCGGGAAACCUGUACAGGUUGAACCAGCUUGGUAAAUACACCAACCAGAGCACACACCGCUCUGCACAUGAGAUAAUCAGUGUCGGAGAGAAACUCUGUGGUCGUAAAGGAGGUGGAGAUUUCUUGUACCCAUAGUCACCCCUCUCUCAGGGCAUGAGAACUCAUAGCAAGGAGAAAGCCUAUGAUGU
This is a long non-coding RNA of Suricata suricatta (meerkat), 865 nucleotides long. RefSeq lists it as uncharacterized. The record is from RefSeq and is a predicted model, not a curated record. NCBI's taxonomy places the organism in Eukaryota, Metazoa, Chordata, Mammalia, Carnivora, Herpestidae. The transcript has 3 exons.